RNAcentral lists this ribosomal RNA (512 nucleotides) under uncultured bacterium. RNAcentral describes it as "partial 16S ribosomal RNA". It matches the Rfam family "Bacterial small subunit ribosomal RNA", at positions 28 to 523 of the family's 1533-position model. The record is from RNAcentral.
GACGAACGCUGGCGGCGUGCCUAAUACAUGCAAGUCGAGCGGAACUGGGGGAGCUUGCUCCUUCCAGUUUAGCGGCGGACGGGUGAGUAACACGUGGGCAACCUGCCCUGCAGAUCGGGAUAACUCCGGGAAACCGGUGCUAAUACCGAAUAGUUUGGCGCCUCUCCUGAGGCGCUACGGAAAGACGGUUUCGGCUGUCACUGCAGGAUGGGCCCGCGGCGCAUUAGCUAGUUGGUGGGGUAACGGCCCACCAAGGCGACGAUGCGUAGCCGACCUGAGAGGGUGACCGGCCACACUGGGACUGAGACACGGCCCAGACUCCGACGGGAGGCAGCAGUAGGGAAUCUUCCGCAAUGGACGCAAGUCUGACGGAGCAACGCCGCGUGAGUGACGAAGGUUCUCGGAUCGUAAAACUCUGUUGUGAGGGAAGAACACGUACCAACUAACUAUUGGUACCUUGACGGUACCUCGCCAGAAAGCCACGGCUAACUACGUGCCAGCCGCCGCGGUAA